This 275-nucleotide ribosomal RNA is filed under the name uncultured bacterium. RNAcentral's name for it is "partial 16S ribosomal RNA". It matches the Rfam family "Bacterial small subunit ribosomal RNA", at positions 399 to 691 of the family's 1533-position model. The record is from RNAcentral.
GCGUGGGUGAAGAAGGUCUUCGGAUUGUAAAGCCCUUUCGGCGGGGACGAUGAUGACGGUACCCGCAGAAGAAGCCCCGGCUAACUUCGUGCCAGCAGCCGCGGUAAUACGAAGGGGGCUAGCGUUGCUCGGAAUGACUGGGCGUAAAGGGCGCGUAGGCGGCGCAUUUGGUCAGGCGUGAAAGUCCUGGGCUCAACCUGGGGAUUGCGUUUGAUACGGGUGUGCUUGAGUUCGGAAGAGGGUCGUGGAAUUCCCAGUGUAGAGGUGAAAUUCGU